RNAcentral lists this ribosomal RNA (235 nucleotides) under uncultured bacterium. RNAcentral's name for it is "partial 16S ribosomal RNA". It matches the Rfam family "Bacterial small subunit ribosomal RNA", at positions 116 to 334 of the family's 1533-position model. The record is from RNAcentral.
CGUAAACAACCUGCCUUAAGGAUGGGGAUAACAGACGGAAACGACUGCUAAUACCGAAUACGUUCUAAGCAUCGCAUGAUGCAUAGAAGAAAGGGUGGCCUCUACAAGAAAGCUAUCGCCUUAAGAGGGGUUUGCGACUGAUUAGGUAGUUGGUGAGGUAACGGCUCACCAAGCCGACGAUCAGUAGCCGGUCUGAGAGGAUGAACGGCCACACUGGAACUGAGACACGGUCCAG